Molecule: ribosomal RNA, 496 nt
Filed under: uncultured bacterium
Lineage: Bacteria
Description: partial 16S ribosomal RNA
Rfam family: Bacterial small subunit ribosomal RNA
Source: RNAcentral
GAUGAACGCUGGCGGCGUGCCUAAUACAUGCAAGUCGAGCGAACAGACGAGGAGCUUGCUCCUCUGACGUUAGCGGCGGACGGGUGAGUAACACGUGGAAACCUACCUAUAAGACUGGGAUAACUUCGGGAAACCGGAGCUAAUACCGGAUAAUAUAUUGAACCGCCUGGUUCAAUAGUGAAAGACGGUUUUGCUGUCACUUAUAGAUGGAUCCGCGCCGCAUUAGCUAGUUGGUAAGGUAACGGCUUACCAAGGCAACGAUGCGUAGCCGACCUGAGAGGGUGAUCGGCCACACUGGAACUGAGACACGGUCCAGACUCCUACGGGAGGCAGCAGUAGGGAAUCUUCCGCAAUGGGCGAAAGCCUGACGGAGCAACGCCGCGUGAGUGAUGAAGGUCUUCGGAUCGUAAAACUCUGUUAUUAGGGAAGAACAAAUGUGUAAGUAACUAUGCACGUCUUGACGGUACCUAAUCAGAAAGCCACGGCUAACUACGUG